This 608-nucleotide ribosomal RNA is filed under the name Halobacillus sp. JC 356. RNAcentral's name for it is "bacterial SSU rRNA". It matches the Rfam family "Bacterial small subunit ribosomal RNA", at positions 68 to 655 of the family's 1533-position model. The record is from RNAcentral. Lineage: Bacteria; Bacillati; Bacillota; Bacilli; Caryophanales; Bacillaceae.
UGGAUCCCUUCGGGGUGAAGCUCGUGGAACGAGCGGCGGACGGGUGAGUAACACGUGGGCAACCUGCCUGUAAGACCGGAAUAACCCCGGGAAACCGGGGCUAAUGCCGGGUAAUACUUUUCUUCGCAUGAAGGAAAGUUGAAAGAUGGCUUCUUGCUAUCACUUACAGAUGGGCCCGCGGCGCAUUAGCUAGUUGGUGAGGUAACGGCUCACCAAGGCGACGAUGCGUAGCCGACCUGAGAGGGUGAUCGGCCACACUGGGACUGAGACACGGCCCAGACUCCUACGGGAGGCAGCAGUAGGGAAUCUUCCGCAAUGGACGAAAGUCUGACGGAGCAACGCCGCGUGAACGAUGAAGGUCUUCGGAUCGUAAAGUUCUGUUGUUAGGGAAGAACAAGUACCGUGCGAAUAGAGCGGUACCUUGACGGUACCUAACGAGGAAGCCCCGGCUAACUACGUGCCAGCAGCCGCGGUAAUACGUAGGGGGCAAGCGUUGUCCGGAAUUAUUGGGCGUAAAGCGCGCGCAGGCGGUUCCUUAAGUCUGAUGUGAAAGCCCACGGCUCAACCGUGGAGGGUCAUUGGAAACUGGGGAACUUGAGGACAGAAGA